AUCCUUUUCUGGUUCAUAAGCGUGAUGAUUGGGUUCUCAUGCGCUUGCGUGACAUGUGCCUUCCUCUAAACCUGUAAUCUUACCUACUUAGGUGGCUAAGAUCUGAGG
This 108-nucleotide small nucleolar RNA is filed under the name Dipodomys ordii (Ord's kangaroo rat). RNAcentral describes it as "Small nucleolar RNA U13". It matches the Rfam family "Small nucleolar RNA U13". The record is from Rfam by way of RNAcentral. Lineage: Eukaryota; Metazoa; Chordata; Mammalia; Rodentia; Heteromyidae.